AAUAGAUACCCCGGUAGUCCACGCCGUAAACGAUGAGUGCUAAGUGUUAGAGGGUUUCCGCCCUUUAGUGCUGCAGCUAACGCAUUAAGCACUCCGCCUGGGGAGUACGGUCGCAAGACUGAAACUCAAAGGAAUUGACGGGGGCCCGCACAAGCGGUGGAGCAUGUGGUUUAAUUCGAAGCAACGCGAAGAACCUUACCAGGUCUUGACAUCCUCUGACAACUCUAGAGAUAGAGUGUUCCCCUUCGGGGGACAGAGUGACAGGUGGUGCAUGGUUGUCGUCAGCUCGUGUCGUGAGAUGUUGGGUUAAGUCCCGCAACGAGCGCAACCCUUGAUCUUAGUUGCCAGCAUUUAGUUGGGCACUCUAAGGUGACUGCCGGUGACAAACCGGAGGAAGGUGGGGAUGACGUCAAAUCAUCAUGCCCCUUAUGACCUGGGCUACACACGUGCUACAAUGGAUGGUACAAAGGGCUGCAAGCCGCGAGGUCAAGCCAAUCCCAUAAAACCNUUCUCAGUUCGGA
This 521-nucleotide ribosomal RNA is filed under the name uncultured bacterium. RNAcentral describes it as "bacterial SSU rRNA". It matches the Rfam family "Bacterial small subunit ribosomal RNA", at positions 777 to 1297 of the family's 1533-position model. The record is from RNAcentral.